This 1956-nucleotide ribosomal RNA is filed under the name Triticum aestivum (bread wheat). RNAcentral describes it as "partial small subunit ribosomal RNA". The record is from RNAcentral. Lineage: Eukaryota; Viridiplantae; Streptophyta; Magnoliopsida; Poales; Poaceae.
AUGACAUAUGGACUUCGUCGGCAUGGGAGAACAUCAGAUGUGUGUUUCCUGACAAUGAAAAAAGGAAGCAGGAUUAUAGUAACCACUAGGAACGGGGAUGUCGCUAAUACAUGUUGUUGUCAUUCCCAAGAUCGGAUUUACAAAAUCCAACGCCUAUCUGAGAUUGCAUCACGCGAGCUAUUCUUCAAGAGGAUCUUUGGCUUAGUAGAUGGAUUGCCCAACAAUGAGUUGGAGGAAGUUUCAAAUGCCAUACUCAAGAAAUGUGGAGGCUUACCAUUAGCAAUAGUCAGCAUUGGUAGCCUUCUCGCUAGCAAACCAAACAGAACCAAACAAGAGUGGCAGAAGGUUUCUGAUAACUUGGGCUCUGAACUUGAAUUAAAUCCUACACUUGAAGGGACAAAGCAAGUCUUAUCUUUGAGUUACAAUGAUCUGCCAUACCAUCUGAAGGCUUGCUUCUUGUAUCUAAGUAUAUUUCUUCAAAAUUAUGUGAUCAAGAGGGGACCUUUGCUGAGAAUGUGGAUAGCCGAAGGAUUUAUCACCCCAAAACAUGGACUUAGUAUGGAGGAGGUUGCUGAAAGAUACUUUGACGAGUUCGUAGCCAGAAGCAUGGUGCAUCCUGUGAAAAUUGAUUGGAGUGGCAAGGUGAGAAGUUGUCGAGUUCAUGAUAUAAUGGUUGAGGUCAUCAUGUCCAAGUCACUUGAGGAGAACUUCGCAUCAUACUUCUGUGAAAAUGGAACCACACUGGAUUCCCAUGACAAAAUACGCCGCCUCUCAUUCCAGAGCAGCAGGCACUCAGUGCAGAGAACAAACGCUAGUGUAGCUCAUGUUCGCACGUUUAGAAUGUCACCUUCCAUGGAGGAAAUCCCAUUCUUCUUCGCACAUUUGAGGUUGUUAAGAGUGUUGGAUAUGCAAGGCAGCAGCUGCUUGAGUAACAAGGAUCUAGACUGCAUCUGUUGUUUUUUCCAGCUGAAUUAUCUAAGCCUCAGAAAUACCAAUAUUUCCAAAUUGCCGAGAUUCAUAGGCCAUCUAAAUUACUUGGAGACACUAGAUAUCAGAGAAACACUUAUUAAGAAGCUACCAGGUAGUGCCAAGAGCCUGGCACAUCUGAAGCAUUUGCUAGUUGGGCAUAAGACACAUCUUACUAGGACAGGUAGUGUGAAGUUCUUCAAAGGAUUCUGUGGCCUAGAAAUGACACCUGGGGUUCUCAUGAACAUGACAUCCCUUCAAUCAUUAUGCCAUAUAGAGAUAAAAAGGGACCCAUCCGUGUUCCAGGAGAUAAGCAAGUUAAGAAAUCUAAAGAAGUUGAACAUUCUCUUCCAUGAGGUAGAGGUGAACUGGAAACCUUGUGUGGAAUCAUUAAGCAAUUUGUCGGGCUCUGUGCGCUCGCUUUCCAUCAAAAUAUUUGAUGGAGAUGGAAGCAUCUCAUCGGAGGAAAUGUUAUCUUCGGUGGAGUCACCUCCUCUCUUGGUCACCAGCUUUGGCCUGACGGGCAAGCUGGAGCGCUUACCUCGAUGGGUGGCAUCACUUAGAAACGUCUCGACGUUUACUCUUCGCAAGAACGGGCUGCGGGCCGACGCCAUAGAUGUCCUUGGAGACUUGCCAAGUCUGCUCUGCCUCAAGCUGUAUCACAAAUCAUAUGCCGAUGACUGCCUCAUAUUCCCACGCGGUAAAUUUUUGAAAGUCAAGCUGUUGGUUAUUGACAACCUAGAGAACAUUGACAAGGUGUGCUUCGAGGAUGGUUCGGUGCCAUGUCUUGAGAGGCUUACGUUGUCAUUCCUGAGGGAGCCCAAGUAUGGGAUCUCUGGUCUUGAUAAUCUUCUGAAGCUGAGGGAGAUAGAGUUCUUUGGUAACAUCAUACUAUCCCUGGUGACUAAAGUGACAUCGUCCGUGAAGACACAUCCAAAUCAUCCAAGAGUAAUAGGUGACAAAUGGAAUAUUGUGACUGAGUAUUCUUAG